RNAcentral lists this ribosomal RNA (305 nucleotides) under uncultured bacterium. RNAcentral's name for it is "bacterial SSU rRNA". It matches the Rfam family "Bacterial small subunit ribosomal RNA", at positions 335 to 658 of the family's 1533-position model. The record is from RNAcentral.
ACCCCUACGGGGGCAGCAGUGGGGAAUAUUGCACAAUGGGGGAAACCCUGAUGCAGCGACGCCGCGUGAGUGAAGAAGUAUUUCGGUAUGUAAAGCUCUAUCAGCAGGGAAGAUAAUGACGGUACCUGACUAAGAAGCCCCGGCUAACUACGUGCCAGCAGCCGCGGUAAUACGUAGGGGGCAAGCGUUAUCCGGAUUUACUGGGUGUAAAGGGAGCGUAGACGGCAUAGCAAGUCUGAAGUGAAAGCCCAAGGCUCAACCAUGGGACUGCUUUGGAAACUGUUAAGCUAGAGUGCUGGAGAGGG